AACGAACGCUGGCGGCAGGCUUAACACAUGCAAGUCGAACGGGCGUAGCAAUACGUCAGUGGCGGACGGGUGAGUAACACGUGGGAAUAUGCCUUUCGGUUCGGAACAACUCGGGGAAACCCGUGCUAAUUCCGGAUACGCCCUUACGGGAAGGAUUAUCGCCGAAGAUUAGCCGCGUUGGAUUAGCUAGUUGGUGAGGUAAAGGACUCACCAAGGCGACGAUCCAUAGCUGGUUUGUAGAGAACGACCAGCCACACUGGGACUGAGACACGGCCCACGACUCCUACGGGAGGCAGCAGUGGGGAA
RNAcentral lists this ribosomal RNA (306 nucleotides) under uncultured bacterium. RNAcentral's name for it is "bacterial SSU rRNA". It matches the Rfam family "Bacterial small subunit ribosomal RNA", at positions 29 to 361 of the family's 1533-position model. The record is from RNAcentral.